Molecule: ribosomal RNA, 468 nt
Filed under: uncultured bacterium
Lineage: Bacteria
Description: partial 16S ribosomal RNA
Rfam family: Bacterial small subunit ribosomal RNA
Source: RNAcentral
GACGAACGCUGGCGGCGUGCUUAACACAUGCAAGUCGAACGGAAAGGCCCUGCUUUUGUGGGGUGCUCGAGUGGCGAACGGGUGAGUAACACGUGAGUAACCUGCCCUUGACUUUGGGAUAACUUCAGGAAACUGGGGCUAAUACCGGAUAGGAGCUCCGGCUGCAUGGUGGGGGUUGGAAAGUUUCGGCGGUUGGGGAUGGACUCGCGGCUUAUCAGCUUGUUGGUGGGGUAGUGGCUUACCAAGGCUUUGACGGGUAGCCGGCCUGAGAGGGUGACCGGCCACAUUGGGACUGAGAUACGGCCCAGACUCCUACGGGAGGCAGCAGUGGGGAAUAUUGCACAAUGGGCGGAAGCCUGAUGCAGCAACGCCGCGUGCGGGAUGACGGCCUUCGGGUUGUAAGCCGCUUUCGCCUGUGACGAAGCGUGAGUGACGGUAAUGGGUAAAGAAGCACCGGCUAACUACGUG